Long non-coding RNA from Pomacea canaliculata, 1390 nucleotides. RefSeq lists it as uncharacterized. Lineage: Eukaryota; Metazoa; Mollusca; Gastropoda; Architaenioglossa; Ampullariidae. The transcript has 6 exons. The record is from RefSeq and is a predicted model, not a curated record.
ACUACAGGUUGCCCACCUACAGGUGGGCUGUGGGCUGUCCCAUCACUUGCUACACUAUGCGCCCACCAGUUUUGCCCCAGUUUGCGCUAAACGCAGUUGUGUCCCCAAAAGUGGGCCAACCCGCUUGGCGCCGUGCCAGGCAAGUCGUGGGCUGCCCACCGGUCAGGUGUAAGUGGGCUAACGUGCUCGGCCCCAGCGAUGCCCGUCAUAUGUUAUGGUGGGCUACUUUUCUCACGCCUGAAGAGACAAGCGCGCUACACACGUGACUCAAGCUUUUCAUCCUUUGAUCUCUCUCGAGGAGCCCUGAAUUGUCUACUACCACUGGGCAGAUAAGCGUACACGUGCUGUCGCCGCCAUCUUUGCGAAGCCAGCUUUCCAGUUUGGGAUUUUAAGUACGCUGUACAAAUGUUGUUGCAAGGCAAGCCUAUUCUGAGGUACUGCAGCUACUGAAACUCAUUUUCAAGCAGUGCUCCACAGUUUGCUGUGUAAGGGGCAGUAUCAAAUGCUGCAUCUUGGGCAAGCCAAGAAAGAACAAAGAAAGGAUUAUUGAAAUGCCUAGAAGAAAUCAAGGUGGGGCAAAAACGUUUGAAAGAAAAGGUCAACCAGCUGCUGCGCAUCAAUGAUGACCAAAACUUGAGUGGAGAACUUUUCAUUUCCUCUGAAGAUAAAGGAAGAUGGCUGGAAGACUGUGGUGUGAAAAAGAAAACGAUGCAGUCAGGAGAAUUUUUCCACAAGCAACAGAAAUGGAAAUAAAUAGUGUGGCACAUAAAUGGUUCAUUAGUGCCAAGGACAGGGGUGGUGAGCGACAUCAGCAAUUUAACUCAACUACUGAUUCUGGCUCCCGGUCUCCUAGCAGGCUGUCUGGUGGUGCAUCGGUUAGUGAACCAAUACAGUGAGGAUUAGCUGCACAGGGUUCUUGGACACACUACUUUUGCAUGUGACAUCUGUUUGCCUCAGCAAUUCCCAAGUUACAAAAGUAAAAGAAAUAAAAAUAAGCCUGAGAGAAUCAUACCGAUAUAGAAAAAUAAAUCAUUUUGAAUUGUCAUUUGCUUCUUGGUAUUGGUGUUCUAAAUGUGGUAGAGAUUGAUAUGCUGUGUGAAAGACUGAUGGUUUUGGUAGUUAGAAAGUGGCAUGCAGACCACCUGUUGGUGGUAUUAAGGUGGUGAAAAGGUGGGAUUUUGGUGGUGAGAAAGUGGUUUAGAGGUGUGUAGACCACCUGUUGGUGGUAUUGAGGUGGUGAAAGGGUGGGAAUUUGGUGGUGAAAGGGUGGUUUAGUGGUGGGCAGACCACCUGUUGGUGGUAUUAAGGUGGUGAAAGGGUGGGAAUUUGGUGGUGAAAGGGUGGUUUAGUGGUGGGCAGACCACCUGUUGGUGGUAUUAAGGUGGUGAAA